CCUACGGGUGGCAGCAGUGGGGAAUAUUGGGCAAUGGGCGCAAGCCUGACCCAGCAACGUCGCGUGAAGGAAGAAGGCCUUCGGGUUGUUAACUUCUUUUCUGAGGGACGAAGAAAGUGACGGUACCCCAGGCAUAAGCCACGGCUAACUACGUGCCAGCAGCCGCGGUAAUACGUAGGUGGCAAGCGUUAUCCGGAUUUAUUGGGUGUAACGGGCGUGUAGGCGGGAAAGCAAGUCAGAUGGGAAAACUCAGGGCUCAACCCUGAGCCUGCAUUUGAAACUGGUUUUCUUGAGUGCUGGAGAGGCAUGCGGAAUUCGGGGUGUAGCGGUGAAAUGCGUAGAUAUACGGAGGAACACCAGUGGCGAAGGCGGAUUGCUGGACAGUAACUGACGCUGAGGCGCGAAAGCGUGGGGAGCAAACAGGAUUAGAUACCCUUGUAGUC
Molecule: ribosomal RNA, 443 nt
Filed under: uncultured bacterium
Lineage: Bacteria
Description: partial 16S ribosomal RNA
Rfam family: Bacterial small subunit ribosomal RNA
Source: RNAcentral